GAUGAACGCUGGCGGCGUGCCUAAUACAUGCAAGUCGAGCGAACAGACGAGGAUCUUGCUCCUCUGACGUUAGCGGCGGACGGGUGAGUAACACGUGGAUAACCUACCUAUAAGACUGGGAUAACUUCGGGAAACCUGAGCUAAUACCGGAUAAUAUAUUGAACCGCAUGGUUCAAUAGUGAAAGACGGUUUUGCUGUCACUUAUAGAUGGAUCCGCGCCGCAUUAGCUAGUUGGUAAGGUAACGGCUUACCAAGGCAACGAUGCGUAGCCGACCUGAGAGGGUGAUCGGCCACACUGGAACUGAGACACGGUCCAGACUCCUACGGGAGGCAGCAGUAGGGAAUAUUCCGCAAUGGGCGAAAGCCUGACGGAGCAACGCCGCGUGAGUGAUGAAGGUCUUCGGAUCGUAAAACUCUGUUAGUAGGGAAGAACAAAUGUGUAAGUAACUAUGCACGUCUUGACGGUACCUAAUCAGAAAGCCACGGCUAACUACGUG
This 497-nucleotide ribosomal RNA is filed under the name uncultured bacterium. RNAcentral describes it as "partial 16S ribosomal RNA". It matches the Rfam family "Bacterial small subunit ribosomal RNA", at positions 28 to 507 of the family's 1533-position model. The record is from RNAcentral.